Bacillus rossius redtenbacheri is the source of this 1422-nucleotide long non-coding RNA. RefSeq lists it as uncharacterized. The transcript is spliced from 2 exons. NCBI's taxonomy places the organism in Eukaryota, Metazoa, Arthropoda, Insecta, Phasmatodea, Bacillidae. The record is from RefSeq and is a predicted model, not a curated record.
GGAAGAGUGAAUCGUAGGCUUCCCUAAUGUAUUACCAAGUUUAUGUACCAUUAACAUAAAACUAAAUAAAAAGUGCUUGUGUGAUUAUGAGUUUCUGUGUUUAUAUUAAAGAAAUCAACAGGUUAUGGGCCCAGGUGUGAUGAUGUUAAAAUCGUUGGGAUUGUUUUCAAUUGUGUGACAAAACGGAAAAACGUUUAUUGCAAAAUGGCUACAUCGUCGGACGACUUCUUGCAAGUUGAAAAACUUGUUGGUCAUGCAAAUUUCAGUAUUUGGAAAUUUCAAAUAACUGUGUUAAUGAAAGCAGCAGACGUCUACAAUGUCAUUAUCGAAAAAGAUGAUACCGAUAAACGUGACAAGGAUUGGGAAAAGAAGGACGCCAAGGCACAAAGAUACAUUGUUACUACUGUUGACAAAGGUAACAUUGGGUGAUAUUAAUAAAAAUGAGUAUAUACUCUGGAGCAUAUACUCUUAAGUUUGAGCAUGUUGUUGAAGUUUAUACUCUAUUCAGCAUGAAAAAAAAUGACAGAGUAUAUACCCAAACUUCCCCUACUUUUGGAGUAUAAACUCAAGUGAAGCUGCAAAUAGUCUUCUUAUUCCCUGAUGUUUACGCUUGUAAACAUAACCAAAAAAUGGCAGAUGUAUCAUCUUCUGCCGGUGAAGAAGUGGAAUGCGGGGAAAUAACUGAUGCUAGCUUUGUGAAAAUCAUUUGCAAUUAUCUGGCAGUAUAUUUAAAAUCUCAAACACCAGAAGCAAGGGAAAAAAAUAAUAUCUGUUUGCAGUCAAUACGAAAUAAGUAUGUUGGUGUUUCUGGAAAAAAUUUCAGUGAAGCUCAAAUACUUAAGAAAAUAAAUAACAUGAAAUCUCGUUUGAAGGCGAAAACAUAUGUCCAGAAAACGGGCAUCAAGAAAAUUGUACUUAAAGAUUGGGAGCAAUUAUUAUUUAUUGCCCUGCAAGGAGAGUGCAAUCCCACUUUGCAGCAAGUUCCUGGUGCUGUAUCAGUCAGAUGUAGCGAAGAUGGAAAUAAACCACAGCAAUCAACAUUGGCACAAGAAAGUGAUGUGCCUAGGCCCCAUAAUGUACCAUCGCGGCCUGUGAAACGAAAAGUCUGCAAUAUCGUUGCUGCUUGUGAGACUGUUGAAACUGUAAAGUUAACAAAUUCAGAGCUCCAGCGUCUGGUGCUUCUCAAGCAGUUAGAAGUACGUACUUGAUUUAAAGAAAAAGAAACUGAUGCAAGAAUUAGGACAUCAAGAAGUAGUCUAUUCGAACCAUGUGUGUAAAAGUGUUGAAUGUGUUGCCACACACUUAGGCUAACUUAAACAAUAUUACAAGAAAAAAUUCAAAUUUUGUUAACAAUAACGCAUUUAAUAGGUAUUUCACCCACCUGCCUUAAUUACAUAAUAAAAACAAAUGUAAGUUACACAA